Molecule: non-coding RNA, 204 nt
Organism: Oryza barthii
Lineage: Eukaryota; Viridiplantae; Streptophyta; Magnoliopsida; Poales; Poaceae
Source: Rfam
CCUCCAUGACGCCAUUAACUUCUUGUCCAACGUUUGACCAUUCGUCUUAUUUAAAAAAUUUAUAUAAUUAUUAUUUAUUUUAUUGUGACUUGAUUCAUCAUCAAAUGUUCUUUAAGUAUGACAAAAAUAUUUUCAUAUUUGCACAAAAUUUUUAAAUAAAACGAAUGGUCAAAUGUUGGUCGAAAGGUCAACGGUGUCAUACAU